CAGAGACACCCUGCACAUCUGGGGGCAGCAAUGAACAACCAAAAAUCUGAAAGGAGGGAGCCCUGCAGGAUUCACCAUGCAGGAUUCACCCUAUGGGAUUUCCCCUGCAGGAUUCACCCUGCAGGAUUUACCACACAGAAUUCACCUUGCAGAAUUUCCCUUCAGGAUUCACCCUGCAGGAUUCCCUGUGUGCACCCAGGGCCUGCAGCACGGCCAGCCCAUCAAUCAAUCCUGCAGAACCUGGAGGAAAAUGUGGGAUUCCAUCCAGGGCUGGGCACUGCAGCCCCAGGAUGUCCCCACUGCGUCCCCACUCGAGUCCUGCUGUGUCCUGGAAGGUGCCACAGACUCAGGUCCAGGGAGGAAAUUCCUUUUCCUCCACUGGAAAAAGCCCAGGGGAUGUUUGGUGGCACUGGAACUCGCUGUGUUUAUGGGCAGCAGCUCCAGCCCUGCUGGUCUGAAAACAUUUCUGGGGAAUUGCAGAGACAAACAGGAGAGUUUGGAGGGCAGAGGAGCAGGGCAGGCUCUGAGCUGGGAAAGGGAAUUUCAGGGCAGGGAAAGCAGCCAGGGGAGCUCAGGGCUCUGUCACCUCAGCAGCAGGCGGGCAGCAGGUCCCUGCUCUCCCCACGGUUAAUUAAGCCCCCAUUAAUUAAAUGCUGGAGCUCAACCCAGCGCAGGGAUGUCAGAAAUUCGGGGAGCUGCUGCCCACAGUCAGGUUCAAAGCAACCCCACAGCUCACCCAGCCUCUCCUGCACCACCAAGGGCUUCUUUCCCCCAUAUAAUGUCUCUGGCAAAGAAAUUAAUUUUUUUGGAGAGGGGGUUGACUCUCUGUUGUUCAGCUCAUUGCUCAGCUCAUCACUUUGAGUAAUUUCAUCCAUUUUGAGGCAUUUCCCCUCAGUCUUCUUAUUCCUAAUUAAAGUCACAAACUCCCCAAAGUCUUUGCUGACCUUGCAGCCCCAGCCCAGGGGAUUUUGGAGCCUUUGUGCAGCACUGAGAACGUUGGAGCCUCUCAGUGUGGCCUGGACCAGCUGAACUUCCCAGAGCACUUCCCUUUGUUCUUGUCCCUCCCCACCUUGCUGGGGGCGUUAUUGUCACCCUCAGUCCCUCCCAGCCCCUUCUGCUCCCCAGCACUCUCAGGAUGUUCCCACCUUCUCUCCAGCCCUAAAC
Molecule: long non-coding RNA, 1164 nt
Filed under: Zonotrichia albicollis (white-throated sparrow)
Lineage: Eukaryota; Metazoa; Chordata; Aves; Passeriformes; Passerellidae
Description: lncRNA (ENSZALG00000003516.1)
Source: RNAcentral